CCAGACUCCUACGGGAGGCAGCAGUGAGGAAUAUUGGUCAAUGGCCGAGAGGCUGAACCAGCCAAGUCGCGUGAGGGAUGACGGCCCUACGGGUUGUAAACCUCUUUUGCCGGGGAGCAAAGAGCGGGACGCGUCCCGCCUCGAGAGUACCCGGAGAAAAAGCAUCGGCUAACUCCGUGCCAGCAGCCGCGGUAAUACGGAGGAUGCGAGCGUUAUCCGGAUUUAUUGGGUUUAAAGGGUGCGCAGGCGGAGGCGAAGAUAGGGGGUAAAUUGGGGGGGCCAAACCUCCGCCCGCCGUUGAAACUGCGUUUCUUGAGUGGGCGAGAAGUACGCGGAAUGCGUGGUGUAGCGGUGAAAUGCAUAGAUAUCACGCAGAACUCCGAUUGCGAAGGCAGCGUACCGGCGCCCAACUGACGCUCAUGCACGAAAGCGUGGGUAUCGAACAGGAUUAGAUACCCUAGUA
RNAcentral lists this ribosomal RNA (463 nucleotides) under uncultured bacterium. RNAcentral's name for it is "bacterial SSU rRNA". It matches the Rfam family "Bacterial small subunit ribosomal RNA", at positions 331 to 792 of the family's 1533-position model. The record is from RNAcentral.